Molecule: long non-coding RNA, 520 nt
Organism: Neopsephotus bourkii (Bourke's parrot)
Lineage: Eukaryota; Metazoa; Chordata; Aves; Psittaciformes; Psittacidae
Exons: 3
Source: RefSeq, a predicted model, not a curated record
UGCACAGAAAGAGCCAAUGUGGUAAGGAAAGGACCAGAGCAGAUGGUCUCUAUAGGCCUGUGCCCUGGGCAGCUUUGCCUCUGGGGCUCACAGCAGGCUUGCGUAACUGAGCCCAGCGUGUAAGGGGAUCACCACUGCACCCACAGCUACUGCCCUCACACAGCCUGAGGCAGGACACUCACAGCACACUGUGCUGGUGGCUGCACCAGGAUGGCCUUUGCAGAGCAGCAUAAUAUAGAGCAGGACCAAAGAGAGAUGGGCCACAGAGAGGAUGCACUACCAUAGGUGGGAUGCAGGCACUACUGUGGGUGGCAUGUGGGGAGCAUGGCUGGCUCUGCUCUCUGGGACCCUGUUGGGGCAUGCGCAGCCCUUCAGGACAGGUCAGUCCAUGCCGGCUCACAUGACAGCAGCAAAUGCUUUGGAGCAGUGGCUCAGCGUGGCAGCUGCAGCACCAACCACCUGCAUCACUGAUCACCCUUCAGGACUCCUGGCAAAGCCAGCCACGAAGGGUUGGAAAGGG